This 492-nucleotide ribosomal RNA is filed under the name uncultured bacterium. RNAcentral describes it as "partial 16S ribosomal RNA". It matches the Rfam family "Bacterial small subunit ribosomal RNA", at positions 29 to 507 of the family's 1533-position model. The record is from RNAcentral.
AGUGAACGCUGGCGGCAGGCCUAACACAUGCAAGUCGAACGGCAGCACAGUAAGAGCUUGCUCUUACGGGUGGCGAGUGGCGGACGGGUGAGGAAUACAUCGGAAUCUACUUUUUCGUGGGGGAUAACGUAGGGAAACUUACGCUAAUACCGCAUAUGAUCUACGGGUGAAAGCAGGGGAUCUUCGGACCUUGCGCGACUGAAUGAGCCGAUGUCGGAUUAGCUAGUUGGCGGGGUAAAGGCCCACCAAGGCGACGAUACGUAGCUGGUCUGAGAGGAUGAUCAGCCACACUGGAACUGAGACACGGUCCAGACUCCUACGGGAGGCAGCAGUAGGGAAUCUUGGGCAAUGGGCGCAAGCCUGAUCCAGCCAUGCCGCGUGAGUGAUGAAGGCCUUCGGGUUGUAAAGCCCUUUUGUUGGGAAAGAAAAGCAGCAGAUUAAUACGCGGCUGUUCUGACGGUACCCAAAGAAUAAGCACCGGCUAACUUCGUG